UUGCAUUAUAAAUAGAGUGUUUGUGCACAUAUGGUAUUAACUGAAAGAAAGCAGAGAUAGAAAAUUAGAGAAUGAGAAAUAUAGUGAGGAAGUCGAGAGUCUCAGAGAAGGUAAAACUUGAUGAAUUUGAUGAUCCAGUGUGGAAUAAUGGUUUUACAAUUUUCAGGUACCGAGGAUGAACUUGGAUUCAUAGUUGCGGGCUUAGGUGGAAAAGUUGGAGUUGAGGAAUUAAAUUAUUUUUUUUAGAGAUUUUUAGGAAAUUGAUUUAGUAUCAAUUUAAUUAAUUUGAGAUGUUGUCUUAUUUAUUUGAGGAAAUUUGAUUGAUUUUGUAUCAAUAAAAUGUAUUUUAUUUCGUUUGAGAUCCUGGUUGUCUUUUAUGAAGUAUUUUGAUUUAAUGAAAUCGAGGAUUUUAUUUAGAAAAAAUUCGGGGCAUUACAGAAUGGUAUUAGAGCCUGUACCCAACUGGAAGUGUGAGUUUAGUGAUGAUGUUGUCCGGUGUGUGUGGGCGAGUGUUUAGUAUUGACUAGUUACCACUUGUAGUCGGGUGUGUGCGUCCGGAUGUCGUUCACUGACAGUUAUUAGGAUAAUUACUAUCAGUGAUUAGGGGCAGGUGUCCCUAGAUCACUAUCGGUUUUAUUUUGUGGACGGGUGACGGCAUCAUCUAGUUACCACAACGGCUACAGAGUGUGUGGGCGGAUAACUAGCACUGUCAACUACCACAAUUUUUUUUCAUGUCACUGAAUUUCACAUCGCCUGGGGUAAGAAUUUUAGGAUUUUAUUUUACCACUUUUGAUGUUUUCGGGUAUGCAAAGUCUGUUGGAUUUGAAUUUUGGGGCGAAAUUCUUUUUAAGUGGUGGAGAAUGUGACAAAUCGGAUUUUUAAGAGUUGAAAUUAUAUUUUAUUUCAUGAUUUUUUUUUUUAAAUUGUCAUAAUUGAUAAUUUAAUUUUUAUUUUGGAGAAUUACUCAAUUUAAAUAUUUAUUGAGUUUGAUUUAUUAGGUAUGCACUUGCAUAUAUAUAUAUAUGUGUGAUAUAUAUAUAUUAAGUUUGAUGGAGAUUGAAUCAAAAGGGAGCAGUGCUGAAAUGAUGUUGGAGAGGCAGCCGAAGGGAUAAAAGAAGAAGAAAAAAAUUGAUAAUUGGUGGGUUUCACUUAUUUGAUGGGUUGAGUUGAGUUUAUUACAAUUGUAUACAUUGUAUAUAUAUUUAUGUUUCUUGAUCUGGUGAAAGGAAGAAAGCAAAUUGAUUUAUUUGGUUACCUUUGUAUAUAUAAUGAUAUAUAUAUAUAUUUAGUACCUUGCAUGGGCAACAUGGAUGCUGCCAGCGAAAUGGUGAGAAGAGUAAGGAAAUUGUGAUAAAGCUGUGGGUCCCAUUAGUUAAAUUCUUGGCCCAAUUAAUUUUGCACUUAUUAUGGAGAUAGAUUUUUGUUUGUUAAACUGAUGUAUAGAAAGCAACUAUAUGUGGUGGCGGGUCCAUUUUUUUGGGUUCAUUGUAUUUGGCCUUGAAUUGUGCUUGGCCUUUACUUUUACACGUGGUGUUUUCUUUUUGGGAUGAGAUUGCAAUUGUUAAAAUAUUAAAUGAAUGAAGAUAUAAGGAUAAGUAAAGUACAGGAAGCAUGGGUGGCGGGUCAAUUGUGAUUAUUAUGUUAGACUUUAGAUAUUUGAUUUGAUUUUUGGUGGUAGAUUUUUGUUUAAGUGUCGGUGGAAUUGCAUUAUAAAUAGAAUGUUUGUGCAAAGAUGGUAUUAACUGAAAGAAAGUAGAGAUAGAAAAUUAGAGAAUGAGAAAUACAGUGAGGAAGUCGAGAGUCUCAGAGAAGGCAAAACUUGAUAAAUUUGAUGAUCCAGUGUGGAAUAAUGGUUUUACAGUGUAGGGAUCAUCAUACCUUGAAUGGCUUGAAUGAUUUUAUUUGAAAAAUUUUGUUAAUUGUUAUUUUGCUAAAAUUGCAUAUAUGUAUUUUGUUUAAAAGCAUAUAUAUAUUUUUGUAAAGCAAAUUUAUCAUGAAACUCUUUGAAAUCCUUGUUAUGGUUUUUCCUACUGUCUCACCCCCCUACAGUUUCAGGUACCGAGGAUGAACUUGGAUUCAUAGUUGCGGACUUAGGUGGAAAAGUUGGAGUUGAGGAAUUAAAUUAUUUUUUUUAGAGAUUUUUAGGAAAUUGAUUUAGUAUCAAUUUAAUUAAUUUGAGAUGUUGUCUUAUUUAUUUGAGGAAAUUUGAUUGAUUUUGUAUCAAUAAAGGGUAUUUUAUUUCUUUUGA
Molecule: long non-coding RNA, 2248 nt
Organism: Cornus florida
Lineage: Eukaryota; Viridiplantae; Streptophyta; Magnoliopsida; Cornales; Cornaceae
Exons: 2
Source: RefSeq, a predicted model, not a curated record